UGAGAUCAGUGAUUUUAAUGGGAGGUGCUUUCUGUGGAGCAACGCCUUUAACUUCCCACCUCCCUUUAUAAAAAACAGCCUCAGUCAUUCAGCAUGUCUACUGUGGCUGGAUCUCAUAUUAAGAAGAUCACUAUGAUGACUCAAAUUCUCAUCACAUUUAUAGUCUCGUCUCUGUGGCUUCAAGGUCAAUGCCAGGAUGUGAACCAAUACCCUGAAAUCAGCUGGAGUAAUGUGUUCAAAUCUGCAGAGAUGAACUGUAGCCACAAUAAAGACGCUGGUCAUAACCAGAUGUAUUGGUACAAGCAGCGUCCAGGGGAGAUCAUGACCCUCAUUGUCUACAUGGUUUUUGAUGGGCAGCCAGACUAUGGGAUGGCCCCUCAAAACAAAUAUGUAGGCAUCAAAGAUGACAUAAAGACCGGGGCUCUCACUGUCAAUGACUUGAAGCUGAAAGACAGCGGUGUGUAUUUUUGUGCCAUCAGCAAACACAGUGAUGUGAGAAGUAUGAGCAGCUGAACAAAAACUGCUUCACAAUAAAUGUGCUGAUUUUUUUAAAAUCCUGACUUUUAUAUCUGUCCUGUAGGUGGAGCUGGAGCUCCAGAAAUACUCAACACAUGUAACACUGUGAAACUUAUGAAGCUGCUUUUGAGGGGAAGGUGUUAGGUGUCUUUAGUAACUGUUGUAUAACUAAAGAGCUUAGAGUCACUCAGUGUUCACUGUUCAUUCAGAAAACAAGUCAACAUGCUCACAUUAUUCUUUUUUUUUUGGCUCCUUGGUAAUCACUUUUACAAUUCAGGAAUACCUCUUCACCUAUAGUUUCUACAUUGUUCACUCAUGUUUUCUUUCUCUAGGUGUUUGUCUGGCUGUUGAAGUCUACCAGAGUCCUUCAGCUCUACUCAGAAAACCUGGAGACAAAGUCCAGCUGGUCUGCAGUCAUGAAAAAACUGACUACAGACUCAUGCAGUGGUACCAGAAAUCCCCUGGAGACCGAGCUCUGAAAAGCAUCGGACAUGUGUAUCAAAAGAGCAUAGAGCACGAGGAGCCUUUCAGAGAACAUUUUAAUAUCACUGGAGACAUGAGUGGAGACACAGCAAAGAACAGUUCUCUGUUUAUAACCAACCUAAAGACACCUGAGCACACUGCAGUGUACUACUGUGCAGCUAGCUAUGCACACUGACUACAGAUCCUCUCUGCUUCAUACAAAAACUCUGAAACAACUUUUAUCAACUAUUAUGCUUUUGAAUGGGAACUUGAACAGACUCCUCCCAGCCAGCUGCGUUUCCUUUCAGGCUUUCAUCUUUGCCAGCUAAUGUACAGUGAUGGCGUUUCAUCACUUCCUUCUCCUUUUCAAACUUCAGUCAGCCCCAUUAAGUCACGAGUUGGAUUUCUGUUGCAAAUGGUGACAGUGAUAUCUGAUGUCAGAUCCCAGAAACUUGAAUCCAUAAAACUCUAAAAGGCAUUUAAAAAUGUUUUUUGUUGAGGAUGUCAAAAUGAUCUGCUUUCUAGUCUUCUGUUGUCUGGCAGGUAAUAACUUGAAGCAUUACUUUCUUUGCAUAUGUCAUUAGUGUAAUUUAUCAUAAAUCACAAUGUAAAUAAGUUCUCUAUUUUUGUUUUGUGUCCAGGUGGUUGUCUGGGUGUUCAGGUCCAUCAGUCUCCCUCGGAUCUCAUCACAAAAAUUGCUGACAAAGUGCAGAUUUUCUGCAGUCAUGAUAAAACUGACUACAGAAUGAUGCUCUGGUACCAGCGGUCACCUGGAGACACAGCUAUGAAACUCAUUGGAUAUUUGUACUUAAAAGAUGUAAUGAUGGAAGAGACAUAUAAAGAACAGUUCAAUAUAACUGGAGAUUUGAGUGGAAAUACAGCAAAGAAUGGCUCUCUUUUAGUUCCCACACCUGGACAACAGCACAGUUCAGUGUACUACUGUGCAGCCAGAGAAGCACGCUGACAUAAAUCCCCUCUGAACUUUACAAAAACUCCACAUAGUAUUUUAUCAUUGGUGGUUUGGAGUAAGAUGAGAAAUAAACUGCUCCCAGACACCUGCUGUUGAGGUUGUAAUUUGAUUUGAUGUAAUCAUAUCAUUACAGUAACUAAUGCAGCUGUGUUUCUAUUUUGUUAGUUUCUUCCCAUUUUACCAGGCAAGCCAUCGCAGAACAGUUUCUAAUACAUAAUGAAAAGGAAAACAUUUUUGUGGGGGAAUCAGUUGAAAGGAAGAUAUAUAUAGAUAUCAGUUCGAUAUGGAACUUAAUUAAACCACUCCUCCUUUCUACAUCACAUUUGUUUACUCUUUAAAUGUGACACUAACACCAAAGACUCAUAACUUUUUCAUCCACGACCUUCGAGUAACUCCAUGAUGAUUAGAUUUUUCUUCUGCUAUUUACUCACAGGUAACAACUGCUUCAUUGUGAAAUGAGACACUGUAUUUACUUUCACAUCCUAAAUCAAUAAUCUGUCCAACUCUGCUUACAGCAGGUUUUCUGUUGGAUUUCAGAUCCAUCAGUCUUCCUCUGCUCUCAACAGAGAGGCUGGUGAUGAUGUGCAGCUUGUCUGCACCCAUGAACAAACUGACUACACAGUGAUGCUGUGGUACCAGCAACCAUCUGAAGAAAAGGCUCUCAAACUCAUUGGAUAUG
Thunnus maccoyii (southern bluefin tuna) is the source of this 2627-nucleotide non-coding RNA. Lineage: Eukaryota; Metazoa; Chordata; Actinopteri; Scombriformes; Scombridae. The record is from the annotation of a RefSeq genome assembly.